RNAcentral lists this non-coding RNA (29 nucleotides) under Mus musculus (house mouse). The record is from RNAcentral. Lineage: Eukaryota; Metazoa; Chordata; Mammalia; Rodentia; Muridae.
UAAUUUGGCCUUGACAUGGACUUUAAAUU